This 414-nucleotide ribosomal RNA is filed under the name uncultured bacterium. RNAcentral's name for it is "bacterial SSU rRNA". It matches the Rfam family "Bacterial small subunit ribosomal RNA", at positions 505 to 916 of the family's 1533-position model. The record is from RNAcentral.
GUGCCAGCAGCCGCGGUAAUACCGGAGGGUGCGAGCGUUAAUCGGAAUUACUGGGCGUAAAGGGCGCGUAGGCGGUCGCGCAAGUCGGGUGUGAAAGCCCCGGGCUCAACCUGGGAAUUGCAUUCGAUACUGCGUAACUAGAGCCUGGUAGAGGGAAGCGGAAUUCCGCAUGUAGCGGUGAAAUGCGUAGAUAUGCGGAGGAACACCAGUGGCGAAGGCGGCUUCCUGGACCAAGACUGACGCUGAGGCGCGAAAGCGUGGGGAGCAAACAGGAUUAGAUACCCUGGUAGUCCACGCCCUAAACGAUGAGGACUAGACGUUGGGGGGAUAAAACCCCUUAGUGUCGCAGCUAACGCGUGAAGUCCUCCGCCUGGGGAGUACGACCGCAAGGUUGAAACUCAAAGGAAUUGACGG